RNAcentral lists this long non-coding RNA (211 nucleotides) under Zostera marina. RNAcentral describes it as "long non-coding RNA (ZMAR_LNC003973)". Lineage: Eukaryota; Viridiplantae; Streptophyta; Magnoliopsida; Alismatales; Zosteraceae. The record is from RNAcentral.
UCGCUUUGGCCAGAAGAUGUCAAACCAUGAGCACGAUAGAUCUGUCGCUUCGGCCAGAUCAAUCGAGGAUUUGUUGAGCAUGGGAAGGAGCGGCACGAGGAGCAGCUCCGCACGCAAGGUCAGUAAGUCAAUAAAUAUAUCCUUUAGACUGAUACAGUUGUUUUGCAGGUUAUUUUUGUUUUGCAGGAACGAUCCUGUCGCUUUGGCCAGG